ACACAUGCAAGUCGAGGGGCAGCAUCAUCAAAGCUUGCUUUGAUGGAUGGCGACCGGCGCACGGGUGAGUAACACGUAUCCAACCUGCCGACAACACUGGGAUAGCCUUUCGAAAGAAAGAUUAAUACCGGAUGGUAUAGUUUUCCCGCAUGGGAUGAUUAUUAAAGAAUUUCGGUUGUCGAUGGGGAUGCGUUCCAUUAGGCAGUUGGCGGGGUAACGGCCCACCAAACCUACGAUGGAUAGGGGUUCUGAGAGGAAGGUCCCCCACAUUGGAACUGAGACACGGUCCAAACUCCUACGGGAGGCAGCAGUGAGGAAUAUUGGUCAAUGGACGAGAGUCUGAACCAGCCAAGUAGCGUGAAGGAUGACUGCCCUAUGGGUUGUAAACUUCUUUUAUACGGGAAUAAAGUGAGCCACGUGUGGCUUUUUGUAUGUACCGUAUGAAUAAGGAUCGGCUAACUCCGUGCCAGCAGCCGCGGUAAUACGGAGGAUCCGAGCGUUAUCCGGAUUUAUUGGGUUUAAAGGGAGCGUAGGCGGGUUGUUAAGUCAGUUGUGAAAGUUUGCGGCUCAACCGUAAAAUUGCAGUUGAUACUGGCGACCUUGAGUGCAACAGAGGUAGGCGGAAUUCGUGGUGUAGCGGUGAAAUGCUUAGAUAUCACGAAGAACUCCGAUUGCGAAGGCAGCCUACUGGAUUGUAACUGACGCUGAUGCUCGAAAGUGUGGGUAUCAAACAGGAUUAGAUACCCUGGUAGUCCACACAGUAAACGAUGAAUACUCGCUGUUGGCGAUAUACAGUCAGCGGCCAAGCGAAAGCAUUAAGUAUUCCACCUGGGGAGUACGCCGGCA
RNAcentral lists this ribosomal RNA (846 nucleotides) under uncultured bacterium. RNAcentral describes it as "bacterial SSU rRNA". It matches the Rfam family "Bacterial small subunit ribosomal RNA", at positions 51 to 890 of the family's 1533-position model. The record is from RNAcentral.